GGCGCUGGGAAAGGAACGGUGCAGCGACCGACCAACCGCGCGCUCGGUGCCUCCAAAAUGCUACCGGUUCUACCCACUCUGUCCCCCACAGGCUUAGGGAAGUCUGUUGUCCUUUUCUUUUUUCUUCUCUGGCCUACGCUGGUGCAGUGGUGUCAUCUUGGCUCAGUGCAGCCUCGACUUCCUGGGAUCCAGCGAUCCUCCUGCCUCAGCCUCUAGAGUAGCCGAGACCACCGGUCACCCCUAGCUCCCAGGCUCUCUUCCGGGUCCAGAACCCACAGGAUCCUACAGGAGGGGCCGACAACUGCUUGCCUUCGACACUUGAAACUCUCGGUCUAAGGUUCCCUAAGAGCGUAAAAGGCACAGCGUUUUCUGACCGCAGCUUCAGGUCUCCCUCACCUGUCCCGGUACCUCUCCUGCAGGAGGGAACUCUGUGGGAACUGCUCGUUGAUUCUGAUGGUUAACUCUGUCAGAUGUCUUUGAUAUUGGGCAUAGGAGUUGGAAGAGGGCUAGAGAGAAAAAUGAACUGCAAGACUCCAGCACAGGAGGUGGGAUUGAUGGCAGACGUCUGUUCCCUCUCUAAACCCAAUAAACAUCUCAAAUUGCCAUCCACUUUCCUAUACCCUUGAUUUGUGAAAUGGAUCACUGAGGCUUUCUCUGUCUUUCCGGAAAUGCAAACAGCUGAAUUUUCAAGAGCU
Molecule: long non-coding RNA, 695 nt
Organism: Mandrillus leucophaeus (drill)
Lineage: Eukaryota; Metazoa; Chordata; Mammalia; Primates; Cercopithecidae
Exons: 2
Source: RefSeq, a predicted model, not a curated record